This is a long non-coding RNA of Vicia villosa (hairy vetch), 1428 nucleotides long. RefSeq lists it as uncharacterized. Lineage: Eukaryota; Viridiplantae; Streptophyta; Magnoliopsida; Fabales; Fabaceae. The transcript is spliced from 4 exons. The record is from RefSeq and is a predicted model, not a curated record.
GAAAAUAGAAAGAGGGAUUAGGGUUGAGUUUUGUGACCCUUCAACUCUUCCCUCAUACUCUCGUGACUCGUCUCUCUCCCUCCCUCAAACGCACAAACGGCGGAGAGCUCAACCUUCCUCCGAUCAAACGAAACCAACGGCGGCGAGUUCUCCCUUCUCCGAUCAAACCGUUCAUCCUUCGCCGCUCACAAACAAAACUCAACAUCCUCUAUUUGCUUCCGUUUAACUCUCAACUCGUCUCUCAGCCUCUCUCGAUCUCAGCUCUCUCGGCUCACUCUCAAUUCUCCGCUCAGUUUCUGAUUUAAACUAUUAACCAAAAAAUCUAAACCUAAAUGCACGAUGAAUGAACAAGAAUCAAGAUGUAUAAAGAAGAACCUGUUAGGAGACCUGAAUUUCCGGUGCGGUGGCGGAGAUUCCCGACCACCGCGAAACUCAGGUUUUACAGUGCCACGACUUAAUGGAGCAUGGAUGCUUGGUAACAAAAGCUUGGAGUUAGCAGAGAAAGGGUCAUGGUGUUGAUAUUUCGAGGAGGGUUGAUGGGCUUCUAUGAAAGCGGCUAUGGUAUGAAGGUUUUGCAUCCGAACUGGCCGACGCUGUUGGGCUUAAUGCUUGGACUCGUUUGAGAAUCACGACGCAUUGUGUAUGUUUAAUGUAGAGCUGUUCGACCACUGGUAUUGAAUAAAUUUGCCAUUGGACGGUCAAAAAAUGAAUGAAUUCUGACUUAGAUUAUGUAUGGACUAUGUUUACGUCGGACCGUUUAUGUAACCAUGACUGAAUGGAUCUGAAUUAUGCUUGUGUAUGCUUGAAACUGUUAGUUUUGGAAUAUGGUUGAAAUGUUACGAAUGCUGGCAGUUAGGAGUCGCUUGGAAUUGGAAUGCUACUGUCAUUUAUGUGAGUCGGUUUGGCGGAAAAGGUUAGGAAUUAGUUAAUGCGAGAAAUCAGGUUAUGCUGCUAGUUUUGUUUGUUGUCAGUUUGCUGUGAAAUGAGGUUCAAGACUUUUUUUUCUGUUGGUUUAAUGGACCAUGUGAAAUGCUUUUAACUUGUUAGUAUAUGUACAGGGCUGCUUGUUUAUUUGGUUUUGGACAGUGUAUGUUUUGAAUGUGAGUUGGAACUUGUUUUAAUUGUUGUUCUAAUUGUGAACAGGGCUUUGGCAGCAUGAAGCACAUGGUUUGGAUCUGGAAGUAGCAGACAUGUUUGGCAUAGUCAGAAGAGGAAAUUUGGCUCAAGCCUAAGGAUAAAGCUUGAAGAUUAGGAGCAAGUCACCAUAGGUUUAGGAAUUUUAGAAUUUGAUCUUCAUGUAUUUUUGUACGAUGUAAAGGAUAUGUUUCCUGAUGGAAGUUUGAUAAAUGAUUUUUGAAUGAACAUUGAAAUCAUGGAUUUUGAUGAACUUUGAUGGACAAAACCAAUGAAUAUCCUUGGAUUAGGUUC